UGCCAGCAGCCGCGGUAACACGGGGGGCGCAAGCGUUAUUCGGAUUUACUGGGCGUAAAGAGCAUGUAGGCGGAUUGGACAGUUGGAGGUGAAAUCCCGGAGCUCAACUCCGGAACUGCCUUCAAUACUUCCAGUCUAGAAUCUGUAAGGGGGUGGUGGAAUUCCGAGUGUAGAGGUGAAAUUCGUAGAUAUUCGGAGGAAUACCAGUGGCGAAGGCGACCACCUGGUACAGUAUUGACGCUGAGAUGCGAAAGCGUGGGGAGCAAACAGGAUUAGAUA
Molecule: ribosomal RNA, 279 nt
Filed under: uncultured bacterium
Lineage: Bacteria
Description: partial 16S ribosomal RNA
Rfam family: Bacterial small subunit ribosomal RNA
Source: RNAcentral